GAUGAACGCUGGCGGCGUGCCUAAUACAUGCAAGUCGAGCGAACGGACGAGAAGCUUGCUUCUCUGAUGUUAGCGGCGGACGGGUGAGUAACACGUGGAUAACCUACCUAUAAGACUGGGAUAACUUCGGGAAACCGGAGCUAAUACCGGAUAAUAUUUUGAACCGCAUGGUUCAAAAGUGAAAGACGGUCUUGCUGUCACUUAUAGAUGGAUCCGCGCUGCAUUAGCUAGUUGGUAAGGUAACGGCUUACCAAGGCAACGAUGCAUAGCCGACCUGAGAGGGUGGAGCGCCACAAGGGAAACGGGACCCGGGCCAGGCCCCAGGGGGGAGGAGCAAGGGGGAAUUUUUCGGAAGGGGGAGAAGCCCGGAGGAAGAACGCCGGGGGGGUGGAGAAAGGUGUAGGAAUGGAAAACCUUUUUUAUAGGGGAGAAAAAUUGGUGAAAGAACUGGGACACAUUUGGAGGUUACCAAAUAAAAAAGCCAGGGCAAGCACCGGC
This 498-nucleotide ribosomal RNA is filed under the name uncultured bacterium. RNAcentral's name for it is "partial 16S ribosomal RNA". It matches the Rfam family "Bacterial small subunit ribosomal RNA", at positions 28 to 508 of the family's 1533-position model. The record is from RNAcentral.